AAAAAGUUCUCACAAGAGAAACUCUCAAAUUAGAUUAUAUUUCAAGUUGUUUGAAAAGUACAUGAUAGUCCUAUUUAUAGCAUAUCCUUACAUAGUAGGAUUUAUUGUCCACUACCAUACAUUCACCAUAGGACUUAGAAAAUUCCCACUAACAUGCUUAUAAAUUCCCACUAGCCACUAUAAUGACUUAGUGCACCACUAGGAAGCAUCUAGAGAGCUUAGGGAGCAACUAAAGGUCAUAUAAAAACUCUCCUAAUACCAAAAACGAAAAUUACAAUAAAAAUAAAGAAAAUUGGACUUAAUUGUUUUUUUUUAUUUAGUCCAAUAUUAUUAGACCACAAUUCAGCCCAAGGAUGCUUCUUAUCAUAUGAAUUGGGCUUCAAGUUGGGCUCAAGCAUCUUCAUCCA
RNAcentral lists this long non-coding RNA (407 nucleotides) under Trifolium pratense (red clover). RNAcentral describes it as "long non-coding RNA (TPRA_LNC013515)". Lineage: Eukaryota; Viridiplantae; Streptophyta; Magnoliopsida; Fabales; Fabaceae. The record is from RNAcentral.